This 510-nucleotide ribosomal RNA is filed under the name uncultured bacterium. Its description in RNAcentral is "partial 16S ribosomal RNA". It matches the Rfam family "Bacterial small subunit ribosomal RNA", at positions 28 to 507 of the family's 1533-position model. The record is from RNAcentral.
GACGAACGCUGGCGGCGUGCUUAACACAUGCAAGUCGAACGAAGAGCGAUGGAAGCUUGCUUCUAUCAAUCUUAGUGGCGAACGGGUGAGUAACGCGUAAUCAACCUGCCCUUCAGAGGGGGACAACAGUUGGAAACGACUGCUAAUACCGCAUACGAUCUAAUCUCGGCAUCGAGGAUAGAUGAAAGGUGGCCUCUACAUGUAAGCUAUCACUGAAGGAGGGGAUUGCGUCUGAUUAGCUAGUUGGAGGGGUAACGGCCCACCAAGGCGAUGAUCAGUAGCCGGUCUGAGAGGAUGAACGGCCAUAUUGGGACUGAGACACGGCCCAGACUCCUACGGGAGGCAGCAGUGGGGAAUCUUCCGCAAUGGACGAAAGUCUGACGGAGCAACGCCGCGUGAGUGAUGACGGCCUUCGGGUUGUAAAGCUCUGUUAAUCGGGACGAAAGGCCUUCUUGCGAAUAGUGAGAAGGAUUGACGGUACCGGAAUAGAAAGCCACGGCUAACUACGUG